Molecule: ribosomal RNA, 435 nt
Filed under: uncultured bacterium
Lineage: Bacteria
Description: partial 16S ribosomal RNA
Rfam family: Bacterial small subunit ribosomal RNA
Source: RNAcentral
GAUGAACGCUGGCGGUAUGCUUAACACAUGCAAGUCGAACGGACUCUUCGGAGUUAGUGGCGGACGGGUGAGUAACGCGUGAGAAUCUGGCUUUGGGUUCGGGACAACCACUGGAAACGGUGGCUAAUACCGGAUGUGCCGAGAGGUAAAAGAGAAAUUGCCUGAAGAUGAGCUCGCGUCUGAUUAGCUAGUUGGUGAGGUAAAGGCUCACCAAGGCAGCGAUCAGUAGCUGGUCUGAGAGGAGGACCAGCCACACUGGGACUGAGACACGGCCCAGACUCCUACGGGAGGCAGCAGUGGGGAAUUUUCCGCAAUGGGCGAAAGCCUGACGGAGCAAUACCGCGUGAGGGAAGAAGGCUCUUGGGUUGUAAACCUCUUUUCUUAGGGACGAACACAAUGACGGUACCUAAGGAAUCAGCAUCGGCUAACUCCGUG